GUUUAAGUAGUUUAUAAAAAUACUGAUUUGUGGUGUCAGUGAUAUGAAUUUAUUCAUCUUAGACU
This 65-nucleotide transfer RNA is filed under the name Homoneura picta. Its description in RNAcentral is "tRNA-His". The record is from RNAcentral. RNAcentral also lists the same sequence under 1 other name. Lineage: Eukaryota; Metazoa; Arthropoda; Insecta; Diptera; Lauxaniidae.